AGGUGAACCUGCGGAAGGAUCAUUAAAGAGAUAGGGUCUUCAUGGCCCGACCUCCAACCCUCUGUUGUUAAAACUACCUUGUUGCUUUGGCGGGACCGUCUCGGUCUCCGAGCGCACUAACCCUCGGGUUGGUGAGCGCCCGCCAGAGUCCAACCAAACUCUUGUAUUAAACCAGUCGUCUGAGUAUAAAAUUUUAAUUAAAUUAAAACUUUCAACAACGGAUCUCUUGGUUCUCGCAUCGAUGAAGAACGCAGCGAAAUGCGAUAAGUAAUGUGAAUUGCAGAAUUCAGUGAAUCAUCGAAUCUUUGAACGCACAUUGCGCCCCUUGGUAUUCCGAGGGGCAUGCCUGUUCGAGCGUCAUUACACCACUCAAGCAUCGCUUGGUAUUGGGAACGGUCCGUCGCAAGGCGGGCCUUCCUCGAAGACCUCGGCGGGGUUCAACCAACUUCGGGCGUAGUAGAGUUAAAUCGAACGUCUUAUAAGCUUGGUCGGAUCUCAUUGCCGUUAAACCUUUAAAUUUUCUAGGUUGACCUCGGAUCAGGUAGGGAUACCCGCUGAACUUAA
Molecule: ribosomal RNA, 564 nt
Filed under: Dothioraceae sp. BC10
Lineage: Eukaryota; Fungi; Ascomycota; Dothideomycetes; Dothideales; Dothioraceae
Description: eukaryotic LSU rRNA
Rfam family: 5.8S ribosomal RNA (bases 207-360)
Source: RNAcentral